GUUGUCUCCAAACCUAGGCACAAGAGUUUUUGUGGCCCGAAAGAUGUCCCUUUUCUCUUCCUAUGGAGAAGGAAAGGAAUUGUGCCAGGUAUAAAAGGGCUGACUGACCUAAAAGGGUGUUAUUCUUGCACAGAUUAGGUUUGAGGCAUUACAAAAACUGUAGGACUGUCAGACUUGUGGUUGCAAGAAGUAUGUGGAACUAGGUGCUGGGAG
Molecule: non-coding RNA, 213 nt
Organism: Pelobates cultripes (western spadefoot toad)
Lineage: Eukaryota; Metazoa; Chordata; Amphibia; Anura; Pelobatidae
Source: the annotation of a GenBank genome assembly